RNAcentral lists this ribosomal RNA (454 nucleotides) under uncultured bacterium. RNAcentral describes it as "partial 16S ribosomal RNA". It matches the Rfam family "Bacterial small subunit ribosomal RNA", at positions 28 to 507 of the family's 1533-position model. The record is from RNAcentral.
GAUGAACGCUGACAGAAUGCUUAACACAUGCAAGUCAACUUGAACUUCGGUUUGGGUGGCGGACGGGUGAGUAACGCGUAAAGAACUUGCCUCACAGAUAGGGACAACAUUUGGAAACGAAUGCUAAUACCUGAUAUUAUGAUUAUAUGGCAUCGUAUAAUUAUGAAAGCUAUAUGCGCCGUGAGAGAGCUUUGCGUCCCAUUAGCUAGUUGGAGAGGUAACGGCUCACCAAGGCGAUGAUGGGUAGCCGGCCUGGGAGGGUGAUCGGCCACAAGGGGACUGAGACACGGCCCUUACGCCUACGGGAGGCAGCAGUGGGGAAUAUAGGAAAAUGGACCAAGAGUGUGAUCCAGCAAUUCUGUGUGCACGAUGAAGUUUUUCGGAAUGUAAAGUGCUUUCAGUUGGGAAGAAAAAAAUGACGGUACCAACAGAAGAAGUGACGGCUAAAUACGUG